GGCGGCGUAGCUCAGGGGUAGAGCAAGCGGCUCAUAAUCGCUGUGUCGGUGGUUCGAGUCCACCCGCCGCUACCA
RNAcentral lists this transfer RNA (75 nucleotides) under Nitriliruptoraceae bacterium. RNAcentral's name for it is "tRNA-Met". It matches the Rfam family "tRNA". From Rfam's summary of the family: Transfer RNA (tRNA) molecules are approximately 80 nucleotides in length. Their secondary structure includes four short double-helical elements and three loops (D, anti-codon, and T loops). The record is from RNAcentral. RNAcentral also lists the same sequence under 3 other names. Lineage: Bacteria; Bacillati; Actinomycetota; Nitriliruptoria; Nitriliruptorales; Nitriliruptoraceae.